AUUUAUGUGCGCUCAGAGAUCAAUCACACACAUAAGCCACAAAUUAAAUACCAUCAUCGCAGUGUUUACAACAAACGUAGUUGUUACAUCACAAAGUCUGGUACAACAGCGGAAAUAUAAAUAAGAUAAUAUAAGAUAACUAUCUCAUGGCCCUCACACAGGGAAGGUCGACUGGUGAAGCACAAGCCUAAUAGUUCUCCGGGUAGUCCUCGUAGCUACCACCAUCUGUUACUCAUCCGGGAUUUUUAUCCAAAGAAAAGAAAUAUACAAGCGUGAGUACAUCUCGUACUCCACAAGCAUAGCAUGAGGAUUUAUGAGGCUCAAACAGGCUAAUCUAGGUUUAUAGCGUCAGCAUUUUAGUAGGUCAGCAUUUUAUCAUUAAUUAUCAUUAGGUUAUGCUUAAGCUCCCAAGUAUCUCAUAUGAUCAGUUAUCAGAACCAUAGUAAGUCAUUAAGUCACAUUAAAGCAUAAUUAUACAUCAUCAUGUACCAUAUAGCCAUCAGUAACCAGUUAUUCUGUGAGUUUUCCGGGCAGCUCGUGACCAUGAGCACGGCUGUUAUAACAGUUAUACACUCUGCAGAGGUUGUGCACUUUCACCGUGAGUCGUGUUGCCCAUAUGCCCGGGGUCCGUCGACCCCCAAACACUACCAAGGUGAGCGGGCAGGGUACACUAUGAAGCCUUCCAUAGGCCUAUUCUAACCAGUUAGGGCCGCGAGGUUUCCUCGGCAGGCAGAUGUAGAAAACCUCCAUUUUCUAUGGCACAUUUCCAUCGCGGCUAUACUCAUAGAAACAGGGACAGCACUACACCCAAAGUGGCAAGCCCCUCUUGCGCCCUUUCGGAUAACCUCUAACGAGUUAGAAAAGAUCCUAUUACUGAGCUAAAGUCAGAGCCAUGUGACUCUCCCGGUUGCACUAUAAGUCCCAGCUUUUGCCGAUAGAUAAGUCCUUACGGAGGGUCUAGGACAAUGUGACCAACGGUCAUUUGUACCAUAGCCCUAUGUUUCAUUUAUCAUAAUCAUGUUUAAUCAAUUAACCAUGGUUCCAUCACUGAUUUCAGAUCGUAUAUAAUUAGAGUUAGAGCACUAGCACUUCUACCCAUAUGCAAUAAAAACCCUCGGAAACAAGGUAAUUGUCAUCAACAGCUAGGAUGUCCUUAUAGUUUGCAAUAGUAUACACAUACAGGGUGAAAUGCUUAAAAAUGAGUAGGACAACAAGGUAGGCCCAUGCUAUACUUGCCUUGGUUCACGUACUCCUGCUGGUCUUGCUGGUCCUGAUGGUCCCCAAAUGAAAGGUCCUAAUAUAGCUAGAGGGGGGUGAAUAGCCUAUUUGAAAAAUCUACAAGGCACUAGAGGAAAGAAUUAAUAUAACAAAAGGCGUAAAGCAAUUUUGCUCUAGCUCUACAAAGGUUGCAAGCAACCUAUCCAAUAAUUCUAGUUGCUAUGAUCUCUAAGCACAAGCAAUGGCUAUGUCACUACUCUUUACAACUAGUUACAACUAGCUAAAACUAGGAACUACUAGUUACAACUAAUUUGCAAGAAGGUAAAGAGAUGAGAGAUAAUUAUACCGGUGUGUAGAGGAUGAGCCAAUCACAAUGUGUAUCAAUAUAUUCACCGGAAGAAUAUCAAUCACAAUAUGG
Molecule: long non-coding RNA, 1636 nt
Filed under: Sorghum bicolor (sorghum)
Lineage: Eukaryota; Viridiplantae; Streptophyta; Magnoliopsida; Poales; Poaceae
Description: long non-coding RNA (SBIC_LNC001279)
Source: RNAcentral